RNAcentral lists this ribosomal RNA (253 nucleotides) under uncultured bacterium. RNAcentral's name for it is "partial 16S ribosomal RNA". It matches the Rfam family "Bacterial small subunit ribosomal RNA", at positions 524 to 776 of the family's 1533-position model. The record is from RNAcentral.
UACGUAUGGAGCAAGCGUUAUCCGGAUUUACUGGGUGUAAAGGGAGCGCAGGCGGUCUGGCAAGUCUGAUGUGAAAGGCCGGGGCUCAACUCCGGGACUGCAUUGGGAACUGUCAGACUGGAGUGUCGGAGAGGUAAGCGGAAUUCCUAGUGUAGCGGUGAAAUGCGUAGAUAUUAGGAGGAACACCAGUGGCGAAGGCGGCUUACUGGACGAUGACUGACGCUGAGGCUCGAAAGCGUGGGGAGCAAACAGG